Molecule: long non-coding RNA, 955 nt
Filed under: Chinchilla lanigera (long-tailed chinchilla)
Lineage: Eukaryota; Metazoa; Chordata; Mammalia; Rodentia; Chinchillidae
Description: lncRNA (ENSCLAG00000027732.1)
Source: RNAcentral
AUACAGGUAACACUGAAACAUAUAUUUGAAGAGCUGUUUCUCUCUUCUGUCCAGCCAUUUGCUUCAUGCAGGACUGCAAGGUGCAAUAUUAUGAGACUUCAGCCAGAAAGACAGGUCAAGGAUCCAAACAGUGAGCAGAAAAUUCCCUUGAGGAUUAACUAUAAACAGACACAUGAUACCAGACUAUGGUUUCAGCCAAGACAUUGUUAAUUCCUAGACUUUGACAUGGAAAAUGAAUGGAGUCACGUGAAAACAACGACAAAAAAAAUUCUAAAAGCAUAUAUCUCACAGGAUUCAGAGUGAUGCUUCCUCCCAAAAUGCACCUGAGUUCAUUUAUUAACAAGGAAAAUGGGGUUUCAUCCUGAAAAACUGAUGGAAUGGCGAUGACUCACUCACUCACAUUUCCUGGUACAUCUGUAGAAGAGACAAGAAAAGUGAGCUAUCAAGUUAAUCUCAUAUUUUUGUGCUUGGUUUGUACAAGUCAAGACACAAGAAAAUAUUUGAAAGAGCAGACAUUUGACAUUCCUAGCUCAAAGUCGCUGACUCCAUUUCCAAGGAGUGAUCUCCUGCUGUUGGUCUGACCCACCUAAAUGGAACACGAUCUUGCUUUCAUUUGACGGCACCCACGAAGACCUCAUUUCUUAAUAAUAAUACAUCUCAUGUUCCCACAUUCUCCCUUUGUAAAAAAGCAUAUACUCUUGCAAGUUACCAUUUCCAAUGCCUCCUAAUAUUUCUAUCUUGAAUAGUUUUCAAAUGUAGUGUGAUCAAAAUGCAUAGUUGUAAUAUUGGAAAAAACAGCACUUUUGUCUUUUGUGAAAAUAAAUUCCAUUUUCAAAGUCUUAUAUAUUGUUUCUCUGGACUUUAGCUUUUUUUUUUUUUUUUUUUUUUUUUUCUCCGGUACCGGCAACCGAACUCACGACCUUGCACUUGCCAGGCAGGCGCUUUUUGCCGCUGA